Molecule: ribosomal RNA, 531 nt
Filed under: uncultured bacterium
Lineage: Bacteria
Description: bacterial SSU rRNA
Rfam family: Bacterial small subunit ribosomal RNA
Source: RNAcentral
AGUAAAUAGAUACCCCGGUAGUCCACGCCCUAAACGAUGCAUAUUUGGUGUGGGCAGUUCAUUCUGUCCGUGCCGGAGCUAAACGCGUUAAAUAUGCCGCCUGGGGAGUACAGUCGCAAGGCUGAAACUCAAAGGAAUUGACGGGGGCCCGCACAAGCGGUGGAGCAUGUGGUUCAAUUCGACGCAACGCGAAGAACCUUACCUGGGCUCGAACGGCUGGUCAACGGCGGUGGAAACAUCGCUACCCCGCAAGGGGGUCCAGUCGAGGUGCUGCAUGGCUGUCGUCAGCUCGUGUCGUGAGAUGUUGGGUUAAGUCCCGCAACGAGCGCAACCCUUGUCCUGUGUUGCCAUCAUUCAGUUGGGAACUCGCAGGAGACCGCCAGGGAUAACCUGGAGGAAGGUGGGGAUGACGUCAAGUCCUCAUAGCCUUUAUGUCCAGGGCUACACACGUGCUACAAUGGACGGUACAAAGCGCAGCGAACCCGCGAGGGGAGCCAAUCGCAAAAAACCGUUCUCAGUUCGGAUUGCAGG